GAUGAACGUUGGCGGCGUGCCUAAUACAUGCAAGUCGAACGAAGACUGUAGUAAUACUGUCUUAGUGGCGAACGGGUGAGUAACGCGUGGGUGACCUGCCCCGAAGUGUGGGAUAACAGUUCGAAAGGAUUGCUAAUACUGCAUAAUAUCCAAGAGAUUAGACGCUUUUGGAUUAAAGGAGUAAUUCGCUUCGGGAGGGGCCCGCGUCCCAUCAGCUAGUUGGUAAGGUAAUGGCUUACCAAGGCGAUGACGGGUAGGGGACCUGAGAGGGUGGCCCCCCACAAUGGAACUGAAACACGGUCCAUACACCUACGGGUGGCAGCAGUAGGGAAUAUUAGUAAUGGGCGAAAGCCUGAACUAGCAACGCCGCGUGUGCGAAGAAGGCCUUCGGUUGUAAAGCACUUUUGUAGAGGAUGAGGAAGGACGGUACUCUCAGAAUAAGUCUCGGCUAACUACGUGCCAGCAGCCGCGGUAAAAUAAGCGUACU
RNAcentral lists this ribosomal RNA (487 nucleotides) under uncultured bacterium. Its description in RNAcentral is "bacterial SSU rRNA". It matches the Rfam family "Bacterial small subunit ribosomal RNA", at positions 28 to 536 of the family's 1533-position model. The record is from RNAcentral.